Molecule: long non-coding RNA, 1331 nt
Filed under: Ursus maritimus (polar bear)
Lineage: Eukaryota; Metazoa; Chordata; Mammalia; Carnivora; Ursidae
Description: lncRNA (ENSUMAG00000005350.1)
Source: RNAcentral
CGGCAAUCAGUCAGAGGAACAGCUUUCAUGGGGCUCCCAGGGCACUGCCUGCUGGUGGGGAAGGGGAAGACCCUGCCCCUGAAAUCACCUGGCCUCUCGCUUAGGAGCCCUGGAUUUCCCACCACUCAUAAGUUCAUGAAAUGAACCAAAGGUGUUAAAACUGGACAACAAGCUGGCCCACAGCAGCUAAUCCAGGAAAGGGAAACUAAUGGGCUCAACUUCAGGGACAAGUAGUCCUGCAAAGAACGGAGGUUUCGGUGAGACCCGGGGCAGCUUGGCUCCUAGCUCCUGCCUGGCCUCCUACACACGCAUGAACCAAGAGGGCAUUCUCAGCUCUUACUUCCUUUGUGAAGGAUGAGUUUGGGAGAAACCAGGCCAGGAGAGCUUCUCAUCUGGGGUGGGUGAGGCCCCACGGGCUGCCCUGGAUGGCAAAGCCACCUGCCCCAGCCCCGUCUGGGGAUGGGCUACGCCCUGCAGCUCAGGGUCCGGGCAGAGCCCAGGGGUAAGCCUAGGAUGAUAGGGGGAGAACCUCACAGAACGGCAGCGAUGCCUUAUUUCAGUAUUGUGGAAAACUGGGCUAUUUACUCAUUUUUCUCUCUUCUACGUUCUCAUUUGAAUUCUUCAUAAUUUGUUUUCUUGAAAGAAAGAAAGAAAGAAAGAAAGAAAGAAAGAAAGAAAGAAGAAAGAAAGAAAAAGAAAGAAAGAAAGAAAGAAAGAAAGAAAGAAAGAAAGAAAGAAAGAAAGAAGAAAGAAAGAGAAAGAAAGAAAGAAAGAAAGAAAGAAAGAAAGAAAGAAAGACAAGAAAAAGGAGUCCUCACAGGAAGGAAGGGAGGGGAGGAGAGAGAAGAGGGGGGCUGUGCACGGCUCCGCAUGGACGCACAUCUCAGUGGAUGUCAGGCUGCUGGACACAGCGGAGGGAGCUUUGCUGCCGACAACAGAGACCUAACACUGUUUUUCUCCGUCGCCUUGAUGAUGAACUCAUGGUCUCUGCCCCUGAGAACAGUCUGAAACAAAGAUGAGGGGAAGGACAGAAAGGAUGGUCUGCAGAGGCCUCGUCCAGCCGCUUCUCCCAGAGCGUCUGCAGAGCUGUGGGCCAGCCAAUCCCAAUGCUUCGUAUCAACCAUCUCGGAUUCGCACGGGCUUUCAGGGCACCAGAAGCUUCUAGACGUCUUCCUCUUUGAUGCUAUCCCUUCCCCACUUCCCUGGAGGGCAGCGGAAGUGCUGAGGUGGGGCUUUCUGUCUCCAAAGCUGCUGGGGAGAGCUGCUUACAAGGUUUUGGCAAAGAAACAACACAGUUCGUGGCAAUAAAUUGUGUUUUCAGAGCCUCCGCA